This 66-nucleotide microRNA precursor is filed under the name Bombyx mori (domestic silkworm). RNAcentral's name for it is "mir-2774 microRNA precursor family". It matches the Rfam family "mir-2774 microRNA precursor family". Lineage: Eukaryota; Metazoa; Arthropoda; Insecta; Lepidoptera; Bombycidae. The record is from Rfam by way of RNAcentral.
UGCACAUUGGACCGUCGGUCUACUGAACAAACAUACCCACUCGGUAGAAGAUCGUUCCUUUGUCGG